AUCUAAGUACCCCGAGGAAAAGAAAUCAACCGAGAUUCCCCCAGUAGCGGCGAGCGAACGGGGAGGAGCCCAGAGCCUGAAUCAGCAUGUGUGUUAGUGGAAGCGUCUGGAAAGGCGCGCGAUACAGGGUGACAGCCCCGUACACAAAAGCGCAUGUGCUGUGAGCUCGAUGAGUAGGGCGGGACACGUGGUAUCCUGUCUGAAUAUGGGGGGACCAUCCUCCAAGGCUAAAUACUCCUGACUGACCGAUAGUGAACCAGUACCGUGAGGGAAAGGCGAAAAGAACCCCGGCGAGGGGAGUGAAAAAGAACCUGAAACCGUGUACGUACAAGCAGUGGGAGCACCCUUCGGGGUGUGACUGCGUACCUUUUGUAUAAUGGGUCAGCGACUUAUAUUCUGUAGCAAGGUUAACCGUAUAGGGGAGCCGUAGGGAAACCGAGUCUUAAC
RNAcentral lists this ribosomal RNA (447 nucleotides) under Salmonella enterica subsp. enterica serovar Typhimurium. Its description in RNAcentral is "partial 23S ribosomal RNA". It matches the Rfam family "Bacterial large subunit ribosomal RNA", at positions 200 to 688 of the family's 2925-position model. Lineage: Bacteria; Pseudomonadati; Pseudomonadota; Gammaproteobacteria; Enterobacterales; Enterobacteriaceae. The record is from RNAcentral.